CCUACGGGUGGCAGCAGUGGGGGAUCUUGGACAAUGGGGGGAACCCUGAUCCAGCAACGCCGCGUGAGUGAAGAAGUAUCUCGGUAUGUAAAGCUCUAUCAGCAGGGAAGAAGAAAUGACGGUACCUGUGUAAGAAUCCCCGGCUAACGACGUGCCAGCAGCCGCGGUAAUACGUUGGGGGCAAGCGUUAUCAGGAAUUACUGGGUGUAAAGGGAGCGUAGACGGUGAUGUAAGUCUGGAGUGAAAGGCGGGGUAUUAACCGCCGGACUGCACUGGAAACUAUGUGACUGGAGUGCAGGAGAGGUGAGUGGAACUCCUAGUGUAGCGGUGAAAUGCGUAGAUAUAAGGAGGAACACCAGUGGCGAAGGCGGCUCACUGGACUGUAACUGACGCUGAGGCUCGAAAGCGUGGGGAGCAAACAGGAUUAGAUACCCUUGUAGUC
This 442-nucleotide ribosomal RNA is filed under the name uncultured bacterium. RNAcentral describes it as "partial 16S ribosomal RNA". It matches the Rfam family "Bacterial small subunit ribosomal RNA", at positions 338 to 795 of the family's 1533-position model. The record is from RNAcentral.